Molecule: non-coding RNA, 74 nt
Organism: Vararia minispora EC-137
Lineage: Eukaryota; Fungi; Basidiomycota; Agaricomycetes; Russulales; Lachnocladiaceae
Source: the annotation of a GenBank genome assembly
GGCCGUUUAGCUCAGCUGGUUAGAGCGUCGUGCUAACAACGCGAAGGUCUUGGGUUCAUAACAGAUCUUGGUUG